AUGGCGGACGGCGGCUCGGAGCGGGCUGACGGGCGCAUCGUCAAGAUGGAGGUGGACUACAGCGCCACGGUGGAUCAGCGCCUACCCGAGUGUGCGAAGCUAGCCAAGGAAGGAAGACUUCAAGAAGUCAUUGAAACCCUUCUGUCUCUGGAAAAGCAGACUCGUACUGCUUCUGAUAUGGUAUCUACAUCCCGUAUCUUAGUUGCAGUAGUGAAGAUGUGCUAUGAGGCUAAAGAAUGGGAUUUACUUAAUGAAAAUAUUAUGCUUUUGUCCAAAAGGCGGAGUCAGUUAAAACAAGUGAGUUCAUGAUCAUGUCUGCUCCAAACACAAAAGCAUUUGUAUUUCAGAACUUUUCACAAGCUCUUCUGUAAGUCUGUUUAAAAUGUGUUAAGUCAACAUUGUAACAUCCUAGUGGGUGUUUUAAAAUUCAGUCCACAUUCUCACAAUG
Molecule: small RNA, 448 nt
Filed under: Pongo abelii (Sumatran orangutan)
Lineage: Eukaryota; Metazoa; Chordata; Mammalia; Primates; Hominidae
Description: retained intron
Source: RNAcentral